Molecule: long non-coding RNA, 954 nt
Organism: Daucus carota subsp. sativus
Lineage: Eukaryota; Viridiplantae; Streptophyta; Magnoliopsida; Apiales; Apiaceae
Exons: 4
Source: RefSeq, a predicted model, not a curated record
CGGGAUUACGAAAAAGAGACUGAAAAAAAAAGCGGUGAAAUUCCCCCCAAAUCCAAACGCAUCGGGCGCUCUCUCACAAAACACACAUCCGAUGCAAUUCUUACAAAAUCCUCUCACUACUCACCCUCAAUCUGCAGUAUGUUUCUAGCUACUGAUUUCUAUUUUUUUUCAAUCAUCUGUUCUCUUAUUCUUUUCCAAAAUAGGUCGUUGUCCUUCGGAAGACACUAUGUUCGCUGCAAGUUGCAUCAGAGAAAUUCAUCGAUUCAUCAUUACUCUUCCUACAGGAACCUCCAAAUUAGAGUAAAUUAAUCUUCGCUAUGCAGAGUCAACAAGUGUGCGGUGGGUGUAGGACUAUUCUUCUCUAUCCAAGAGGAGCAGCAAAUGUUUAUUGUGCAGUUUGCAAUGUAGUUACUACGGUACCACCACCUGAUUACAUAUCAGUGUUUUACUGGAAGAAGAGAACACGAAAAUCAGCUAACUCGGAAUAGAAAGUUUUUGACAGUUGUUCAUGUUGUGAUCAUGUUCCUGAGAUGUUGCUGUGAUAGAAGUCACUGAUGAACCUACAUAUAAUGGACCAAAUGCUAAUGAAUUGACAAGAAACAACAUAAACUCCAUGGUCCUGUGCAGCAUCUGAGAUGUGAUGGCAGUGACAGCCGAACUUUAACAGACACUUGAGAAUAUGCAUGCCCUUAACAAGAUGUUUAGUCUGGAAGCUGAAAUAUCUGUUUUGGAGCAAAAGGUACGAGCUAAGGUGGAGCAGAACCAGAAGAAAGCACCCUUACAUUUAUUUAGUUUAUUAUAACGACACUGAUCAUCAUGUUUUGGAGUCUGAAUAAGAGAGAAAGUUUCUCAUCUUGCUGUCACUAUUUGAGCUGUUGUGAAUCUUCAUCCGGAUAUAUACAAAUAUUUUUUAGGAUGUUAUUUAAUGAAAUUAUGAUAUAGCGGAUUGAUUCA